This 875-nucleotide ribosomal RNA is filed under the name uncultured crenarchaeote. RNAcentral describes it as "bacterial SSU rRNA". It matches the Rfam family "Archaeal small subunit ribosomal RNA", at positions 21 to 903 of the family's 1478-position model. The record is from RNAcentral. Lineage: Archaea; Thermoproteati; Thermoproteota.
CCUGACUGCUAUCGGAUUGAUACUAAGCCAUGCAAGUCUUUGUAGUAAUACAAGGCAUACGGCUCAGUAACGCGUAGUCAACCUACCCUAUGGAUGGGGAUAAUCUCGGGAAACUGAGCAUAAUACCCAACAGAUCAUCAAUUCUGGAAUGGUUGAUGAUUCAAAUGAUUUUUCGCCAUAGGAUGGGACUGCGGCCUAUCAGCUUGUUGGUGAGGUAAUGGCCCACCAAGGCAAUUACAGGUACGGGCUCUGAGAGGAGAAGCCCGGAGAUGGGUACUGAGACAAGGACCCAGGCCCUAUGGGGCGCAGCAGGCGAGAAAACUUUGCAAUGUGCGAAAGCACGACAAGGUUAAUCCGAGUGAUUUCUGCUAAAGGAAUCUUUUACCAGUUCUAAAAAUACUGGCGAAUAAGGGGUGGGCAAGUUCUGGUGUCAGCCGCCGCGGUAAAACCAGCACCUCAAGUGGUCAGGAGGAUUAUUGGGCCUAAAGCAUCCGUAGCCGGCUCUGUAAGUUUUCGGUUAAAUCUAUAUGCUCAACGUAUAGGCUGCCGAAAAUACUGCACAGCUAGGGAAUGGGAGAGGUAGACGGUACUCGGUAGGAAGGGGUAAAAUCCUUUGAUCUAUCGAUGACCACCUGUGGCGAAGGCGGUCUACCAGAACAUGUUCGACGGUGAGGGAUGAAAGCUGGGGGAGCAAACCGGAUUAGAUACCCGGGUAGUCCCAGCUGUAAACGAUGCAGACUCGAUAAUGCAUUGGCACAUAGCCAGUGCAGUGUCGCAGGGAAGCCGUUAAGUCUGCCGCCUGGGAAGUACGUACGCAAGUAUGAAACUUAAAGGAAUUGGCGGGGGAGCACCACAAGGGGUGAAGCCAGCGGUUC